This is a long non-coding RNA of Etheostoma cragini (Arkansas darter), 101 nucleotides long. RefSeq lists it as uncharacterized. The transcript has 4 exons. NCBI's taxonomy places the organism in Eukaryota, Metazoa, Chordata, Actinopteri, Perciformes, Percidae. The record is from RefSeq and is a predicted model, not a curated record.
UGAACUGUUUCUGGAGAGUGGGCAAGGACAGGAAGUGCAGUUUAGAAAUCCGUCUCCCUGCCAGUGUGCAGUGUGUAUAAAAAUAAAAUACACUGUGUUCA